UCUCUCUCUCUCUCUCUCUCUCUCUCUCUCUCUCUCUCUCUCUCUAGGAAAACCCAACCCUCACAUGCCUCUCCAAGGAUUCUCUACAUCCUGGUCCCAAACAGUUCAGGCUACUUGAAAAACUGACUUGGCAAACUUUCCGGAAAAGUGGUAGAAGUGAUGUCCUCCUGACCCAGGAAAUUCCAGCGGGAAGUGUCAAAAGGACAGGACUGUCGAAGGAGCUGGAGGAAGUCGGUGCUCGUGUGGUGUGAGACAGAACUAGGCUACUGAAUGACAUCAGCUGAAAGGAACAGCUGAUGGCAGCAGGCACCAAGACCUCAAGCCAGCAAGUGAGGUCAUCUUAGAUAAUCCUGUCCCAGUCACUCCAGAAGACAUCGGCCUCAUGAGCUGGGUGGAGACUUAGGUGAGCCGCAAGUAGAGAACCAUAGCAAACACACGGUUGUUCUAAGAGAGGACCCUGCAUAUGCUAGUACUGCAUGUAGGCUGAAUGAGUGAUGUUAUUGGCUGCCAAGCUCAAGCAGAAAGGCUCAAAACGGGUUACACAUUAGAAUUAAGGCAAGUGACAGCCCAUUGCCCUGGAGGAAUACAGCAAACAGGACAAGGGUUAUUGGUUGCAGCAACAGAAAACUGGCCAACAUCAUCCUGUACGCCAUGACUCCUCCCUCAGAUGAGGAAUGUUGGGAAUGGGUCCAAAAGUUCAGUGUAGAAGUCCGUGCUCGACCAAUUCCUCCCACGUCGAAAUGUUACAAGGCCGAUGAAAUGAACUAUCUACAUAUCUUGCUUGGGACAACGGCUGGUAGAGUGUGAAAGGUCUAUGAGCACUGGUUAUGUGGCUUUCUGAUUGUCCUUGUGACAGGCUCUGUAGUUCAGGCUAGCUUGGAACUUGUGACAAUUCUACUCUAGCUUCCAGAAUGCUGAGAUUACAGACAUGAGCCAGGAAUCCUUGCUGGUCGUAUGUCUCAACAAAGAUGGAAUACAACUUAGUAAUAUGCCUUUAAUUUCAUUGAGUCGUUGAGGUGGCAAUGGCUGAUUCUUGGGGUUUCUCUCCACAAGUCCUUGGGUUACUGAGACAAGUUUUGUCCUGACCCCUAUCUACAGUGUCCUCCUGCCCAGGACACUG
Myodes glareolus (Bank vole) is the source of this 1120-nucleotide non-coding RNA. NCBI's taxonomy places the organism in Eukaryota, Metazoa, Chordata, Mammalia, Rodentia, Cricetidae. The record is from RefSeq and is a predicted model, not a curated record.